UAGGGAAUCUUCGGCAAUGGACGAAAGUCUGACCGAGCAACGCCGCGUGAGUGAAGAAGGUUUUCGGAUCGUAAAACUCUGUUGUUAGAGAAGAACAAGGACGUUAGUAACUGAACGUCCCCUGACGGUAUCUAACCAGAAAGCCACGGCUAACUACGUGCCAGCAGCCGCGGUAAUACGUAGGUGGCAAGCGUUGUCCGGAUUUAUUGGGCGUAAAGCGAGCGCAGGCGGUUUCUUAAGUCUGAUGUGAAAGCCCCCGGCUCAACCGGGGAGGGUCAUUGGAAGCUGGGAGACUUGAGUGCAGAAGAGGAGGGUGGAAUUCCAUGUGUAGCGGUGAAAUGCGUAGAGAUAUGGAGGAACACCAGUGACGAAGGCGGCUCGCUGGUCUGUAACUGACGCUGAGGCUCGAAAGCGGGGGGAGCAAACAGG
This 429-nucleotide ribosomal RNA is filed under the name Gemmatimonadota bacterium. Its description in RNAcentral is "Gemmatimonadetes bacterium partial 16S ribosomal RNA". It matches the Rfam family "Bacterial small subunit ribosomal RNA", at positions 355 to 776 of the family's 1533-position model. Lineage: Bacteria; Pseudomonadati; Gemmatimonadota. The record is from RNAcentral.